This 253-nucleotide ribosomal RNA is filed under the name uncultured bacterium. Its description in RNAcentral is "partial 16S ribosomal RNA". It matches the Rfam family "Bacterial small subunit ribosomal RNA", at positions 524 to 776 of the family's 1533-position model. The record is from RNAcentral.
UACAGAGGGGGCGAGCGUUGUUCGGAAUUACUGGGCGUAAAGGGCGCGUAGGCGGCCUUCUAAGUCGAACGUGAAAUCCCCGGGCUCAACCCGGGAACUGCGUCCGAUACUGGGAGGCUUGAAUCCGGGAGAGGGAAGCGGAAUUUCCGGUGUAGCGGUGAAAUGCGUAGAUAUCGGAAGGAACACCAGUGGCGAAGGCGGCUUCCUGGACUAAUACUGACGCUGAGGUGCGAAAGCGUGGGGAGCAAACAGG